Molecule: ribosomal RNA, 300 nt
Filed under: Eudinopus dytiscoides
Lineage: Eukaryota; Metazoa; Arthropoda; Insecta; Coleoptera; Scarabaeidae
Description: eukaryotic LSU rRNA
Rfam family: Eukaryotic large subunit ribosomal RNA
Source: RNAcentral
ACUAAAAUUAAACCUAAAGGCGCAAUGAAAGUAAAGGUCCGCCUCGCGCGGACCUAGGGAGGAUGGGCCCGUCCAAGUGCGGGCCCCGCACUCCCGGGGCGUCUCGUCCUCAUCGCGAGGAGAGGCGCACCCAGAGCGUACACGCUGGGACCCGAAAGAUGGUGAACUAUGCCUGGUCAGGACGAAGUCAGGGGAAACCCUGAUGGAGGUCCGUAGCGAUUCUGACGUGCAAAUCGAUCGUCGGAACUGGGUAUAGGGGCGAAAGACUAAUCGAACCUUCUAGUAGCUGGUUCCUUCCGA